RNAcentral lists this ribosomal RNA (395 nucleotides) under uncultured bacterium. Its description in RNAcentral is "bacterial SSU rRNA". It matches the Rfam family "Bacterial small subunit ribosomal RNA", at positions 29 to 430 of the family's 1533-position model. The record is from RNAcentral.
AUUGAACGCUGGCGGCAUGCCUUACACAUGCAAGUCGAACGGUAGGGGGAGCAAUCCCCUGAGAGUGGCGAACGGGUGAGUAAUACAUCGGAACGUACCUGGUAGUGGGGGAUAGCCCGGCGAAAGCCGGAUUAAUACCGCAUAAGACCUGAGGGUGAAAGCGGGGGACUCGCAAGGGCCUCGCGCUACCGGAGCGGCCGAUGUCAGAUUAGCUAGUUGGUGGGGUAAAAGCCUACCAAGGCGACGAUCUGUAGCUGGUCUGAGAGGACGACCAGCCACACUGGGACUGAGACACGGCCCAGACUCCUACGGAGGCAGCAGUGGGGAAUUUUGGACAAUGGGCGCAAGCCUGAUCCAGCCAUGCCGCGUGCGGGAAGAAGGCCUCGGUUGUAACG